Molecule: long non-coding RNA, 493 nt
Filed under: Homo sapiens (human)
Lineage: Eukaryota; Metazoa; Chordata; Mammalia; Primates; Hominidae
Description: HSALNT0299483
Source: RNAcentral
CAAAGACCAAAUAUUUGUUUUUUAUUACAUCACAAUGCCACAUCCACAGAUCUUCUUUCCCUGACACAGAGAUUUGCUGGCUAAGCUAUUCAAUUUCAUCUAUUCUUGCAGACUUCGUUGUCUCAUUGUUAUGACAAACUGGAGCCAAAUUUAAAAAAUGUUUAAACCACAUUUAGAAGGUAGGAAGCUGGACUCCAUGGUGAACAGCAUUAACAAGUACCACAAGUUUCGAGUGACAGAAGCAUAUCAGCUAUGGAAGCAGAUGGAACAAAAUAAUGUUAAAGGGCCUACGAAGACAAAAGUAAAAGACCCUGAUUGACUGAACAUGCCAGGGUCCAGUGACCAUGACUGAUCAAAACAAUUCUUCCAUAUGGCAGAGUCAUUUGGAAGAAAAGCAACAGCAACUGCAGUGGCCACAUUAGUGUAAGCAGGAGCAGUUCUUAGAGGAAGAGGUUGUUUGGCAGACUAAAUAAAAAAUAAAACUUGUUUAAUA